UGGUGUCAUGAUGAUGGGCAAAAAAAUGUUCAACUGCUCUGAAGGGGCUGAAUGACAAUAGCCUUUCUGAACAUCU
Molecule: small nucleolar RNA, 76 nt
Organism: Erinaceus europaeus (western European hedgehog)
Lineage: Eukaryota; Metazoa; Chordata; Mammalia; Eulipotyphla; Erinaceidae
Source: Ensembl